CCUACGGGUGGCUGCAGUGGGGGAUAUUGCACAAUGGGGGAAACCCUGAUGCAGCGACGCCGCGUGAGUGAAGAAGUAUUUCGGUAUGUAAAGCUCUAUCAGCAGGGAAGAAAAUGACAGUACCUGACCAAGAAGCCCCGGCUAACUACGUGCCAGCAGCCGCGGUAAUACGUAGGGGGCAAGCGUUAUCCGGAUUUACUGGGUUUAAAGGGUGCGUAGGCGGAUCGUUAAGUCAGUGGUCAAAUUGAGGGGCUCAAACCCUUCCCGCCAUUGAACCUGGCGUUCUUGAGUGGAAGAGAAGUAUGCGGAAUGCGUGGUGUAGCGGUGAAAUGCAUAGAUAUCACGCAGAACCCCGAUUGCGAAGGCAGCAUGCCGGCUUCCGACUGACGCUGAAGCACGAAAGCGUGGGGAUCGAACAGGAUUAGAUACCCGUGUAGUC
RNAcentral lists this ribosomal RNA (439 nucleotides) under uncultured bacterium. RNAcentral describes it as "partial 16S ribosomal RNA". It matches the Rfam family "Bacterial small subunit ribosomal RNA", at positions 338 to 795 of the family's 1533-position model. The record is from RNAcentral.